This 439-nucleotide ribosomal RNA is filed under the name Serratia marcescens. RNAcentral's name for it is "bacterial SSU rRNA". It matches the Rfam family "Bacterial small subunit ribosomal RNA", at positions 1 to 436 of the family's 1533-position model. The record is from RNAcentral. Lineage: Bacteria; Pseudomonadati; Pseudomonadota; Gammaproteobacteria; Enterobacterales; Yersiniaceae.
UAAUUGAAGAGUUUGAUCAUGGCUCAGAUUGAACGCUGGCGGCAGGCUUAACACAUGCAAGUCGAGCGGUAGCACAGGGGAGCUUGCUCCCUGGGUGACGAGCGGCGGACGGGUGAGUAAUGUCUGGGAAACUGCCUGAUGGAGGGGGAUAACUACUGGAAACGGUAGCUAAUACCGCAUAACGUCGCAAGACCAAAGAGGGGGACCUUCGGGCCUCUUGCCAUCAGAUGUGCCCAGAUGGGAUUAGCUAGUAGGUGGGGUAAUGGCUCACCUAGGCGACGAUCCCUAGCUGGUCUGAGAGGAUGACCAGCCACACUGGAACUGAGACACGGUCCAGACUCCUACGGGAGGCAGCAGUGGGGAAUAUUGCACAAUGGGCGCAAGCCUGAUGCAGCCAUGCCGCGUGUGUGAAGAAGGCCUUCGGGUUGUAAAGCACUUU